This 455-nucleotide ribosomal RNA is filed under the name Micrococcus luteus. Its description in RNAcentral is "bacterial SSU rRNA". It matches the Rfam family "Bacterial small subunit ribosomal RNA", at positions 1012 to 1467 of the family's 1533-position model. The record is from RNAcentral. Lineage: Bacteria; Bacillati; Actinomycetota; Actinomycetes; Micrococcales; Micrococcaceae.
UUUCCCGUUUGGGCGGGUUCACAGGUGGUGCAUGGUUGUCGUCAGCUCGUGUCGUGAGAUGGUUGGUUAGUCCCGCAACGAGCGCAACCCUCGUUCCAUGUUGCCAGCACGUCGUGGUGGGGACUCAUGGGAGACUGCGGGGUCAACUCGGAGGAAGGUGAGGACGACGUCAAAUCAUCAUGCCCCUUAUGUCUUGGGCUUCACGCAUGCUACAAUGGCCGGUACAAUGGGUUGCGAUACUGUGAGGUGGAGCUAAUCCCAAAAAGCCGGUCUCAGUUCGGAUUGGGGUCUGCAACUCGACCCCAUGAAGUCGGAGUCGCUAGUAAUCGCAGAUCAGCAACGCUGCGGUGAAUACGUUCCCGGGCCUUGUACACACCGCCCGUCAAGUCACGAAAGUCGGUAACACCCGAAGCCGGUGGCCUAACCCUUGUGGGGGGGAGCCGUCGAAGGUGGGG